GUCUACAGCCAUACCACCCUGAACGCGCCCGAUCUCGUCUGAUCUCGGAAGCUAAGCAGGGUCGGGCCUGGUUAGUACUUGCAUGGGAGGAUAUGAAGGUGAAAGCU
This is a ribosomal RNA of Pan troglodytes (chimpanzee), 107 nucleotides long. NCBI's taxonomy places the organism in Eukaryota, Metazoa, Chordata, Mammalia, Primates, Hominidae. The record is from Rfam.